This 1813-nucleotide ribosomal RNA is filed under the name Salmonella enterica. RNAcentral describes it as "partial 23S ribosomal RNA". It matches the Rfam family "Bacterial large subunit ribosomal RNA", at positions 426 to 2141 of the family's 2925-position model. The record is from RNAcentral. Lineage: Bacteria; Pseudomonadati; Pseudomonadota; Gammaproteobacteria; Enterobacterales; Enterobacteriaceae.
GUGGUAUCCUGUCUGAAUAUGGGGGGACCAUCCUCCAAGGCUAAAUACUCCUGACUGACCGAUAGUGAACCAGUACCGUGAGGGAAAGGCGAAAAGAACCCCGGCGAGGGGAGUGAAAAAGAACCUGAAACCGUGUACGUACAAGCAGUGGGAGCACCCUUCGGGGUGUGACUGCGUACCUUUUGUAUAAUGGGUCAGCGACUUAUAUUCUGUAGCAAGGUUAACCGAAUAGGGGAGCCGGAGGGAAACCGAGUCUUAACCGGGCGUUAAGUUGCAGGGUAUAGACCCGAAACCCGGUGAUCUAGCCAUGGGCAGGUUGAAGGUUGGGUAACACUAACUGGAGGACCGAACCGACUAAUGUUGAAAAAUUAGCGGAUGACCUGUGGCUGGGGGUGAAAGGCCAAUCAAACCGGGAGAUAGCUGGUUCUCCCCGAAAGCUAUUUAGGUAGCGCCUCGUGAAUUCAUCUCCGGGGGUAGAGCACUGUUUCGGCUAGGGGGCCAUCCCGGCUUACCAACCCGAUGCAAACUGCGAAUACCGGAGAAUGUUAUCACGGGAGACACACGGCGGGUGCUAACGUCCGUCGUGAAGAGGGAAACAACCCAGACCGCCAGCUAAGGUCCCAAAGUCAUGGUUAAGUGGGAAACGAUGUGGGAAGGCCCAGACAGCCAGGAUGUUGGCUUAGAAGCAGCCAUCAUUUAAAGAAAGCGUAAUAGCUCACUGGUCGAGUCGGCCUGCGCGGAAGAUGUAACGGGGCUAAACCAUGCACCGAAGCUGCGGCAGCGAACGUAUCACUUAAAGCGAUUCAGCGGGUUACGAUUGACGGAGCGAAGCGACGUCAAAGCGUAUACAAAGUCGAGUCGGUUUAAGGAUACGUUCGUUGGGUAGGGGAGCGUUCUGUAAGCCUGUGAAGGUGUGUCGUGAGGCAUGCUGGAGGUAUCAGAAGUGCGAAUGCUGACAUAAGUAACGAUAAAGCGGGUGAAAAGCCCGCUCGCCGGAAGACCAAGGGUUCCUGUCCAACGUUAAUCGGGGCAGGGUGAGUCGACCCCUAAGGCGAGGCCGAAAGGCGUAGUCGAUGGGAAACGGGUUAAUAUUCCCGUACUUGGUGUUACUGCGAAGGGGGGACGGAGAAGGCUAUGUUGGCCGGGCGACGGUUGUCCCGGUUUAAGCGUGUAGGUGUGUGUUCCAGGUAAAUCCGGUUCACUUUAACACUGAGGCGUGACGACGAGGCACUACGGUGCUGAAGCAACAAAUGCCCUGCUUCCAGGAAAAGCCUCUAAGCAUCAGGUAACAUCAAAUCGUACCCCAAACCGACACAGGUGGUCAGGUAGAGAAUACCAAGGCGCUUGAGAGAACUCGGGUGAAGGAACUAGGCAAAAUGGUGCCGUAACUUCGGGAGAAGGCACGCUGACACGUAGGUGAAGUGAUUUACUCAUGGAGCUGAAGUCAGUCGAAGAUACCAGCUGGCUGCAACUGUUUAUUAAAAACACAGCACUGUGCAAACACGAAAGUGGACGUAUACGGUGUGACGCCUGCCCGGUGCCGGAAGGUUAAUUGAUGGGGUCAGCGCAAGCGAAGCUCCUGAUCGAAGCCCCGGUAAACGGCGGCCGUAACUAUAACGGUCCUAAGGUAGCGAAAUUCCUUGUCGGGUAAGUUCCGACCUGCACGAAUGGCGUAAUGAUGGCCAGGCUGUCUCCACCCGAGACUCAGUGAAAUUGAACUCGCUGUGAAGAUGCAGUGUACCCGCGGCAAGACGGAAAGACCCCGUGAACCUUUACUAUAGCUUGACACUGAACAUUGAGCCUUGAUGUGUAG